Molecule: ribosomal RNA, 200 nt
Filed under: uncultured bacterium
Lineage: Bacteria
Description: partial 16S ribosomal RNA
Rfam family: Bacterial small subunit ribosomal RNA
Source: RNAcentral
ACGCUCGACACCUACGGGAGGCAGCAGUGGGGAAUAUUGCACAAUGGGGGAAACCCUGAUGCAGCGACGCCGCGUGGAGGAAGAAGGUCUUCGGAUUGUAAACUCCUGUUGUUGGGGAAAAAGAGGAUGGGUAACCCAACAAGGAAGUGACGGCUAACUACGUGUCAGCAGCCGCGGUAAUCUGAGGCGGCUGGCAAGGC